GUAAUGGUGGGAACUCAAGGGAGACUGCCGGUGAUAAACCGGAGGAAGGUGGGGAUGACGUCAAGUCAUCAUGGCCCUUACGGCCAGGGCUACACACGUGCUACAAUGGCGCGUACAGAGGGCUGCAAGCUAGCGAUAGUGAGCGAAUCCCAAAAAGCGCGUCGUAGUCCGGAUUGGAGUCUGCAACUCGACUCCAUGAAGUCGGA
This 206-nucleotide ribosomal RNA is filed under the name Aeromonas hydrophila. RNAcentral's name for it is "partial 16S ribosomal RNA". It matches the Rfam family "Bacterial small subunit ribosomal RNA", at positions 1125 to 1330 of the family's 1533-position model. The record is from RNAcentral. Lineage: Bacteria; Pseudomonadati; Pseudomonadota; Gammaproteobacteria; Aeromonadales; Aeromonadaceae.